GAUUAGCUUGUUGGCGGGGUAACGGCCCACCAAGGCAACGAUCAGUAGGGGUUCUGAGAGGAAGGUCCCCCACAUUGGAACUGAGACACGGUCCAAACUCCUACGGGAGGCAGCAGUGAGGAAUAUUGGUCAAUGGACGAGAGUCUGAACCAGCCAAGUAGCGUGCAGGAUGACGGCCCUAUGGGUUGUAAACUGCUUUUAUAAGGGAAUAAAGUGAGUCUCGUGAGACUUUUUGCAUGUACCUUAUGAAUAAGGACCGGCUAAUUCCGUGCCAGCAGCCGCGGUAAUACGGAAGGUCCGGGCGUUAUCCGGAUUUAUUGGGUUUAAAGGGAGCGUAGGCCGGAGAUUAAGCGUGUUGUGAAAUGUAGACGCUCAACGUCUGCACUGCAGCGCGAACUGGUUUCCUUGUGUACGCACAAAGUGGGCGGAAUUCGUGGUGUAGCGGUGAAAUGCUUAGAUAUCACGAAGAACUCCGAUUGCGAUGGCAGCUCACUGGAGCGCAACUGACGCUGAAGCUCGAAAGUGCGGGUAUCGAACAGGAUUAGAUACCCUGGUAGUCCGCACGGUAAACGAUGGAUGCC
This 581-nucleotide ribosomal RNA is filed under the name uncultured bacterium. Its description in RNAcentral is "bacterial SSU rRNA". It matches the Rfam family "Bacterial small subunit ribosomal RNA", at positions 239 to 817 of the family's 1533-position model. The record is from RNAcentral.